Long non-coding RNA from Papio anubis (olive baboon), 664 nucleotides. NCBI's taxonomy places the organism in Eukaryota, Metazoa, Chordata, Mammalia, Primates, Cercopithecidae. The record is from Ensembl.
AGCCCUGCAAGAAUCCAAGUAAAUAAAGCUAAACCUUCACUACUGAAAAACAGCUUCUAGACAACUCAUGUAUCAUAUACUUUAUAUCCUUGCAUGGAUUCUCCAAAUCUAGUCUCUGAGAUCAGUGGUCAGCCCUGUUUUCUGCUGGGAUAAACCUUGUGGAAGAUCUCUUCAUGCACAAAGUGACACAGGUAUAUCAUUCAUCUGGGUCUGUGGCCUAGAAAAGACAGACUCUGAGUUUUGUGCAGCUCCCUGUGAGUUAGUUAACUUCAUCUAUUUCUUUACAGUCAAUUUGAAACUCAUUAAGGUUACUAUACCACAAAAAUUGCUGCUCUAAGAAUAUGCCAAGUGCCUUCAGAAAAGAUGCAGAAAAUGAAGUACAACAAAAUCAAGCUCUUCGGCACAGGCUUCCAGGCACCAAGAGAUUUGGGACUAGCAUACAGAUCCACCACUCCACAAACUUACCUUUAUCACAGUUACAUAUUCAGAAUUUUAUAUUUGUACAUCUUAAUGCACCUUGUUUUGUAGGGCUGAUUGGAGUUAAGACUUUUUUUGCCCUCUGGCGACAUUGUAACUGUGAAAGCAAUGGACGAAUAAAGGAGUCAUUAUUCUCCAGUGUGCUAUGUGGUUGAUUGUAACUUAUACAUUUUCAUUCUCAGAAACA